RNAcentral lists this long non-coding RNA (216 nucleotides) under Nicotiana benthamiana. Its description in RNAcentral is "long non-coding RNA (NBEN_LNC032366)". The record is from RNAcentral. Lineage: Eukaryota; Viridiplantae; Streptophyta; Magnoliopsida; Solanales; Solanaceae.
UAAAAUUGAAGUUCAUCAAUAUUCCUGCUACUACUUUGAGUGUUAGAAAAAGUUGAAAAAAUAUUAAAACUAUCAAUGCCUUCUUCAUCAUCUACAUUACUGCUACAUUGCAUAGCGGGAUUUACAUAUGUUGAAGCACGAGAAUUAUCACAUUGAAUUGCAUAAUAAUUAUAUAGAUGUUGUAAAUGUUCAUUUAGCUGGUUCAUAGAAUCAUAC